UUUAUAAUCCAACAUCUAGAAUAUUGUGAUGAAAUUAUAAUCCUUUGUACAAGAAAGGCUGCUCAUAUUGCAACUACUCACGUUCAAGCCAACCAUUUUUGAAAAUUAGAUAUGGUUACACCAUAACUGACAAGUUCUCUUCCUCCCACACUGUCUACAUAAAACAUUUUAUCACCACCUCCCAGAUUAGGAGUAUAAUCCUAUAAUCCGAAUCAAAGAAAGCCUAAAAGGGAUCUUGAGUAAAUCAGUCAUGAGACCCCCAUCCCUCUCAAAUCACCACUUCCUCUUCAUUUUUCUAGGACUAAGCUUUGCCAGUAUUAGCUGUUCUAAGACAAUGGCUUAUAAUCCUCCUUGUCCAUUAAACUUUGGUAUUCUUAUGGGAAUUACCAAAUCAUUCCAGAGCCAGGUCACCUCCUUUUGACCUUGCGGCCGAGUGGUCAGCGGGAAGGUGGGGCAGGAACGAGGUAGUUUUCGGUCAGAGUAUCUUCGAGCUACUGGUGUACUUCGCCGCCCUCCGAGUAUUUCAGAGGCUGGUUGGGAUUUCAUUGCAGGCCUGAGGUGACACCGUUUUAGAAGGAUUCGAUGUUCGAUCCCCUUGUGGGGUUUCAACCAGCUGGAUAUCAAAAAGUUGUUUGAUAUCAAUACAGGCAAGAGUUCGAGGCCCUUAAUUUCCAAACACGCAUGGGAGGAGGAGGAAGGUUGUGUAACCAAACACUUGGGAGCAGUCUACUUGUUCAUCUUGUAGAGCCCCUUGUCGUGUUUGCAAGUAGCUUAUGUUCGGCCAUGACGGGAAGUUCUCGGCUUGUUUUUUGGUAUCCAUAUAUGUAUUCUCAGCUUUCGCUAAUCGAUUUUGGGGCCCACUGGACUUGGAGACAACCAGUGCCUGUUUCGCGCUUGAUCGCCAUGCAUCAGCUAAACACGAGAGAAACAUGUGUUUGUGGUGACCUAGCGCCGUGCUAGGCUGUGCAAUUGGCGUCUUCGGAGCAAUUUCUGUUGUUUGGGUUUCUUUGGAGACAGCAUAGAUUAAAAAGAGUGAAGAAGAAGGUUUGGUGGGGUUGGGGGGAUCAUUCGGUGAAAGUGACUACUUGGCAAGUUCACAUUGGAACAGCUGAAGGAGGCUUCAAAUGAUUUUCUCGACAAAAAUCUAAUGGAAAAAGGAGGUAUAUGGGAUGUCUUCAGAGGGGUGGUAGGCAAAUGCUCUCAAGUUGCAUUGAAAAAAGUUCAAAAAUUGCUGCGUUUCCGUGAUGAGAUUUUCAAACACGAGGCGAGGUCAGGGGAAGGUGUUAGACACGUAAAUCUUGUUGUCUAAGAGGCUAUUGCCUGGAACAGAUCCUCUGGUAUGCCACCAGAGAAUAAUUUGUGUGUGAACGAUGCAAGAAUGGAAGGCCUCAUGACCAUCUGUUUUGGCUUGGGGGAGAAGAAUAAACUCACCUGCCAAUUCGUCAAAGAUGCCCUGUGGACAGCCACGCGGGUUGGCUUAUUUACACAUGUAGCUUUCAACUGCUAUUAUGCAUAGAGAUGUCAAAUCAAUUCAUAUACUUUUGGAUGAGACAGGGGAACGAACUUGCAGAUUUCGGCUUCGCUCAGUUGUUUUACGUCGCAGAUGGGUUUCACAUGGAAGCACUAAACUCGCUGGUACCCUUUGGUUUACGUACCCCAGAAUAUGCUUGUCAUGGUUCAUUUACAGAGAGAAGGGAGGUCGAGAGGGGGGGGAUAGUUCUCCUUGAGUUUUGAGCGGGAAACACUGUUUUUGGCCGUUGAAACCAGGGAACAUUUGCCUGUUGAUAGAUUGGGCUGGGUCACUAGUGCAAAAAGGCCAAUCAUGGAUAUUAUUGAAGAAGGGCAUCCUGAGAGGGCAACCACCAGAAAGUAAUGGGAAUUUGUUUUUUUGUUGCUGUUCUUUGUGGCUCAUCCGACAUUACAUGCCAGGCCCACCAUGGAACAGAUUGUGAAUAUUUUAGAAAUGGACUUUACAACGGUUAUCUCGAUCCCAGAUCACCCGAUUUCUCUGAUUGAAAAUGCAAAUGAUAUUGAGAGAUCACUUACCCGCAUUGAUUUGGGUUCUAUAUCUUGUGCCGAUCAAUGACUAUCUAUCUCUGGGAGUGGCCAUUCGAGGUAGGAUCAUGUGGAAAAUGAGGAAUCGUUUCAAGAACUUGUGAUGUAAAAUUUUUCUAUUGAUACAUUGGGCUUUGUCUGCAAGUCAAACUUUUCUUGUUUGGCUUAAAAGAAACUUUUCUGAUCAAUCUUCUUUUACUCUAAGCAGAUUUUUUGCAAUCUUGGCUUGGGAAAAGAAUUAAGGUUUUCUUUGUAUGCUUCCUAGUUUACAGUAAACACGUCUUUCGCGUGUUUGCUCAAGAUUAAAUUUCAAUAAAUGCAUAAUUGGAAAGAAUUUCAAUGUAUCUGCAAGAAAUUGAAAUUUUGGGAAAUUAAAGAGAACAAAAAAACACUUACCAGACAUAACUAAAAACCUAUCCUAAAAUAGCCCUUUAAUUUAAAAAUCUCAUACACAAUAUCCAUUUAUACAUUACAAAAGCAUAAUUAAAUCUCAUAUAAGUUGAUAAAGUUGAUUAUAAAUGUAUGAAACUUAGUCAAGAACGUUAAUUUCUUUGGGCCGAUUAGCUGAGACGGGGAACAAUAGAAAAGUAUAUAGAGCCAAGUUCGAGCCGAACUAAAAAAUUAAACAAUUUCAAAAAUAGGUUUAAGCUUUGGAUUUGUUUGCAUAACAAUCUAAUUACUAAAAAAAAUUUAACGAGCCGACAUGCUCCACUCAAGUAGGUUGUUUUCGCUUUACAUGUAAAGGCGUGAGGAGUUAUUACAUCAUAUUGCAAUUUUAGGCUGCCAACACCAGAUUGUACUGGCUUUGCUGUCCAUGUGUAUUCGAGUGCUUGUGUCCUGGCCAAUCUAGUCCAAGUUCAAUAAUGUGAUACACUGGGGACUAAACUACAAACAAAGUGUCAUUUACAAAUUCAUUAUCGGGGUCCUAAACUCCUCAGUCCUUUCCUGGAUAUCAAAUUCCACCUUCAUUUUGCUUCCAACAGUUUCUAGUAGGGUCUUGUUUGUUUUUUCAUUCACCUAGUCGACUGGACAGUCAAUUCUAGUCAGACUCAAUCCCUGGUCCAUGUAAAUGAGGGAGUAACAGAUGUGUACUACCUCUCUAUGAUACAGCAUCCAUGACAAGGAAAAAUCAAGUUAAUUCAGUAAUGUAACUGCAUUACCUAAUUUGUGGAUGAUUAUAAUACGAUGAGAUCAUGUUACUAAAUUAUCAGUUCCAAUAUAUUUUUUUUCCAGCGGAAUGAUGGAUAAACCCCACAUGGGAGCCAUUAUAAACUUCUCAAAUCAAUUAGCGUAGACCCCGGGAUGGUUUUGCUAGCUAAAUGAACUACUUUAAGUCUAUAGUGAUAAAUAAACAAAUAUGGCAACGAACCGGGGGACGCAAUCAACCAUGGUAAAUGAAUAAGCAUUUGGGAAAUUCUAGACUAGACUUCAUAUCGUCUCCUAGGCCAAAUUUGUUAGGAGGUACUCAGUUUCAUUCAAAGUUAUUUUUUUCUAGCUUAGACUGUUGACGAUUCGGAGUAGGAUUGCAGGAAGAGAUAGUGGAAAAGCCUCAAUAGAAAAUGCUUCAGUGAGCUCAAUAGACAUUCUUGAGAAAGGUAAAAUCAUGGCAUAUAUUUGGCUACGGUAGGGAAUCAACUGAUUUUUCAUAUUUUAACGAUCUACACCAUCGACCGAAAGGGACGGAAACUGGAUCUUGUCCAAUGGGCCCUACUCUGGGCCUUAACGCCCAGCUGUAUGGAACAAUCAACGAAACUGAAUUGGACAAUCUGAGCCCUUAACAUUACAUUUGGAGCAAUCUCAUCAUUCUCUAGUUUGAAUUUGUGUCCUCUUGCAACUGUCAUAAUUCAGUAGAACUUUGAGUAUCACAACUAUGAAAUGAAACAAAGAAGGAGACAAUCAUGUCAACAGAAAAGAAAAGAGCAAUAAAGCAGACUGGUCAAUUAAUAUUUCAGACAAUCAGGAAUGGUAGUCCAAGUCAUUAUCAACGGCUGUGGUCUACACUCCAAUUGUUGAAUUUUUUGAUGAACAAGGAGGACACAUGAUCAACGACAUGAUCACCCUCAAGGGUUUAGAAUUUGUUGAAGAAACAAAGGAGGAAACAGAUCAACGUCUUUGGUCUACACGCCAAUGGGGGCAGAAUUUGUUGAUGAAACAAGAAGGAAAGGCGGCUUAUUUUUCCAAAUUUCACAUUCAUAUCAUCCAAAUUUGAAAAUCGUAAGGUCGUUCUAAUUCCAGAUCAGAGCAAGAUUUUCUCUAACCAAAACCAAGAAGCCUAAAUUUAUCUUGGAAAUCAGUCACAGGAAAGAACAUCCCUCUCAAUCCCCUCUUCCUCUUCAUUUUGUCCUGGUCUAAUCUGUUUCCAUAUUAGCUGUUCUACAACUGGCUUAUAAUCUCUUUGUCCAUUAAACUAAUAUUCUUUGGAGAAUGACCAAAGCCAGGACAGAACUCAGGUCACCUCCCUUGACAUUGAGACUGAGUGUCAUCUCAUUUUU
This 4547-nucleotide long non-coding RNA is filed under the name Actinidia chinensis (golden kiwifruit). Its description in RNAcentral is "long non-coding RNA (ACHI_LNC000054)". Lineage: Eukaryota; Viridiplantae; Streptophyta; Magnoliopsida; Ericales; Actinidiaceae. The record is from RNAcentral.